RNAcentral lists this signal recognition particle RNA (87 nucleotides) under Armatimonadota bacterium. RNAcentral describes it as "Armatimonadetes bacterium signal recognition particle sRNA small type". It matches the Rfam family "Bacterial small signal recognition particle RNA". From Rfam's summary of the family: The signal recognition particle (SRP) is a universally conserved ribonucleoprotein involved in the co-translational targeting of proteins to membranes. Archaeal SRP consists of a 7S RNA and homologues of the eukaryotic SRP19 and SRP54 proteins. The record is from RNAcentral. Lineage: Bacteria; Bacillati; Armatimonadota.
CGGGUACGGCAGCGGGGUGGUCACGAACCGGGUCAGGGUCGGAAGGCAGCAGCCCUAAGAGAUACGCCUCGCGUGUCGUACAGUUUG